This 354-nucleotide unclassified non-coding RNA is filed under the name Helvella lacunosa. RNAcentral's name for it is "sequence contains 5.8S rRNA gene". The stretch from base 1 to 53 matches the Rfam family "5.8S ribosomal RNA", at positions 102 to 154 of the family's 154-position model. Lineage: Eukaryota; Fungi; Ascomycota; Pezizomycetes; Pezizales; Helvellaceae. The record is from RNAcentral.
GAACGCACAUUGCGCCCCCUGGCAUUCCGGGGGGCAUGCCUGUUCGAGCGUCUCCGGGAAGAAGACUCACGCGGCGCAAAGCGUGGUGGUGGCGGCGGCGGCGAUCCCGAGAGGGCAGCCACCCCGGCGGAAUGGAUCGGCGGACGACUGCCGCGUCCCUGAGCGUGAUAUUUUGCUAUCGCCUCGAGCGCGGCGAGGCACCCAGCCCUGGCCAGUCGCCUCCCGCAUCGGAGAGUGUGAUAUUUUGCUAUCGCCUCCAGAGCGGCGAGGCUGCCAGCCCUGCCACCCGGGCAGGGCGGGGAGACCUGUGUCAUUGGAACUCCUCGAAUCAGGUAGGGAUACCCGCUGAACUUA